This 453-nucleotide ribosomal RNA is filed under the name uncultured Roseateles sp. RNAcentral describes it as "bacterial SSU rRNA". It matches the Rfam family "Bacterial small subunit ribosomal RNA", at positions 334 to 779 of the family's 1533-position model. The record is from RNAcentral. RNAcentral also lists the same sequence under 1 other name. Lineage: Bacteria; Pseudomonadati; Pseudomonadota; Betaproteobacteria; Burkholderiales; Sphaerotilaceae.
UACUCCUACGGGAGGCAGCAGUGGGGAAUUUUGGACAAUGGGCGCAAGCCUGAUCCAGCCAUGCCGCGUGCGGGAAGAAGGCCUUCGGGUUGUAAACCGCUUUUGUCAGGGAAGAAAAGGUUCUGGCUAAUACCUGGGACUCAUGACGGUACCUGAAGAAUAAGCACCGGCUAACUACGUGCCAGCAGCCGCGGUAAUACGUAGGGUGCAAGCGUUAAUCGGAAUUACUGGGCGUAAAGCGUGCGCAGGCGGUUAUGCAAGACAGAGGUGAAAUCCCCGGGCUCAACCUGGGAACUGCCUUUGUGACUGCAUGGCUAGAGUACGGUAGAGGGGGAUGGAAUUCCGCGUGUAGCAGUGAAAUGCGUAGAUAUGCGGAGGAACACCGAUGGCGAAGGCAAUCCCCUGGACCUGUACUGACGCUCAUGCACGAAAGCGUGGGGAGCAAACAGGAUU